CAUUGCUUGCAUCUCAAUCAUUCAGUCAACGGACGGAGAAGCUGCAUAAUUAAACUGGUGAUUGCAAGAUUUAAAUCAAAGUUUCGGCAGGUUGAAAAAGCCAUGGCAGCAAGCCAAACACAGGAGGAGAGUGAUUGCUCUGAGCUGGAUUUCUCCAUUUGUUCAGGCUCUGAAUACGUGCCAAGUCAAAUUUCAGACUUAAGUGAUGAGGACAACCACAGUCUACAAAGUAAGACACUAAAGAUCACUGAUGUUUCUAGCGACAGUGAUAAUGAAGAACUGAGAAACAUGACUCUUAAAAAGACACC
This is a non-coding RNA of Maylandia zebra (zebra mbuna), 308 nucleotides long. The record is from RefSeq and is a predicted model, not a curated record. NCBI's taxonomy places the organism in Eukaryota, Metazoa, Chordata, Actinopteri, Cichliformes, Cichlidae.